Molecule: long non-coding RNA, 812 nt
Organism: Girardinichthys multiradiatus
Lineage: Eukaryota; Metazoa; Chordata; Actinopteri; Cyprinodontiformes; Goodeidae
Exons: 3
Source: RefSeq, a predicted model, not a curated record
UGUGACAUAAUUAAGGAUUUAGGCUCUUGGCACAUGCCAGACAGGAUGAUGAGUGGCCUUUGUGGUUUUGUCAGGAGGUGUUCUGUGUUUGUGUUUGGCACAACUAGCCAAAUACAGGUUAAAGCCAGCUGUUCUGUAAAGCCAUCAGAUGUUUGUUGGAGAACAUCAGUGAACAUCCUACAGAGCUCUGUUCCAUCCAUCACCUGAACAUUUAUAGAGGAUGGGCCAACUGUAAACCUUCCAGGACAUGGACGUCCACCCGAACUGACAGCAGGACAAGGACAGCAUUAAUCAGAGGUGCAGCCAAGAGACCCAUUGUGGUUCUGGGGGAGAUGCAGAGAUGCACAGCUGAGGAGGAAUCUCUGCAGUUGUCAGUAUGCAGACCGGAAAUGGGUUGAAGAGAGGGGGAAGACGUGCAACACAGGUUGUCAGGACUUGAACCAGGGACAUCUGCGUUGAGGAAUGAAGUCUCCGUAUGUACCGCUACGCAAUGUGCCACGCCCAUAGGUGUAAUUUUUAAUUGAUCACGUCCCACCUCUACACUCAACAAAUCGGACCUUUAUGGAAGAGUGGCAGGAAUAAAGCCACUGAAUUGAACUUUGAUGCAAAGCUUUAGUAUGUGAGAUGGAAAACUAACACGGCAUAUCACUCAUAAUCAACUAAACUUGCCUUCAUAACAAGGAUCAAAUUGGAAUGUCUGGAAUUGGCUUUAAAUCUGUCUGUAACAUUGAAUUGAAUUGACUUUUUUUGUAAAAUGACUUGUGAUGAUAUUUGUUGUGAAUUGGUGGUAAAUAAACUGAGUUGAAUUUUGA